Long non-coding RNA from Lemur catta (Ring-tailed lemur), 933 nucleotides. RefSeq lists it as uncharacterized. The transcript has 4 exons. Lineage: Eukaryota; Metazoa; Chordata; Mammalia; Primates; Lemuridae. The record is from RefSeq and is a predicted model, not a curated record.
GGAGGGGCAGGAGGCGCCUGCAGGCACACCGGGGAGCAGGGCCGGGCCGCCCGCCGAGGACGCCUCCUCCGGGCCCUCUGGGAACGGGGCGGUGGACACCGCGGCGCCUCCUCGUGCUUGUCUCGCUGGGUCUCGAGCCCCGAAGCGGAACAGCGGAGACACAGCUGUGGGCGCAUCUGGAUCUGCCGGCCAGACCGCCAGCCGGAGGCCGUCCGGAGCCCGAGGCCGCAGAGCACUAGAGGCUGCCGUUCCCAAGCAAGUCAGUCAGGACGCUGGACGCCACGCUGAGCUGGGCCCAGCGGCCCCGGCCCGGGGAGGCUGCGCUGCCCUCAGCGCAGAAGCUGCGCGCCUGCGGAAGAGAGACCCAGCCGCCUCGGCCGCUCUCGGAGUAGGUGCGGCUGGCCAAAUGCGGUGCUGAGCCGAAUGCAGGAGAAAGGGGUGGAAGUAAGGUCUUCUUGAAUGGCAGCCAAUGUUUUGACUCUUUUGAGUCAGUGAGUGCAGUAAAGAUGAGUAAGGCCCAAACAGAAGAAACUGAAGAAAGAUACAUCCAAAGUAAGGAAUUGAAGGAAGCAGCUGAUGCCUAAGGGCAACAGCAUGGCAAGAAGGAGCCACUGGAUCCUGAACUUGGAUGGAAACGGAGGUGGAUAGACUUCACUUUCAACAACAUAAGUAAUGAUGUGAAUAAGGCCUGACCUACUAGAUUCCUCUGGCCACAUGUCCUAAUCAAAGCCAAAGAAAUGUAAGAAGACUUCUGCUGACACCUGUGGGAAAGAGGCUCCAAUAAAAGAUAACAGAAACUUCAAUAAUAUGGAGCCAUAAAUGGUUGGAAAAUCCCCAAGAGAAUGUUAAUGUCAAUGAAGGCAAGAAAUGGAUAAGACUAGCACUUGAGAAAAGUCUGAACACUCUCAGCCCUCUCUCAAGCAAUUCCUGCCU